RNAcentral lists this transfer RNA (70 nucleotides) under Methylobacterium sp. OTU13CASTA1. Its description in RNAcentral is "tRNA-Gln". The record is from RNAcentral. Lineage: Bacteria; Pseudomonadati; Pseudomonadota; Alphaproteobacteria; Hyphomicrobiales; Methylobacteriaceae.
UAGAUAUUUCAAUAGGGCAGGGGGGACUCUGACUCCUCUAGUCGAGGUUCGAAUCCUCGUCCCCCAGCCA